GUUUCUUUUGUAAACAAAAGGGACAUGCGAAAAAGGAGUGCAGCCAGUUCAAGAAAUGGAUGGAUGACAAAGGAUAUUCAAAAUCUAAGGAAGCCAGUGGCAAGUGAGCAAAGCAUCUUAUCUGGAAACAAGAUGGGCUCACAUGUGGAAGCUAUUGGAACAUGCAAUUUAGUUUUAAGUAAUGGUUUUGUUUUAAAGUUAGAAAAGACCUUUUAUGUACCAAGUUUCUCUAGAAACUUGAUUUCAGUUUCAAGACUUAUACCCUUUGGUUUUUCCUUUACA
Molecule: long non-coding RNA, 282 nt
Organism: Cannabis sativa
Lineage: Eukaryota; Viridiplantae; Streptophyta; Magnoliopsida; Rosales; Cannabaceae
Exons: 2
Source: RefSeq, a predicted model, not a curated record